AAACGUCUUGCUGUUGGCAAAUGUAAAAAUCUGAACACGGUGAAGUUUCUGUACACCGAGAUCCUAGCCGAGAUCCUGACCAGGAUUGCGAAACAAGAUCGGAGGCUCACUAGCCCGUUGAAAGUCAUGUAGGUGAAAAUAUUGCACCUAUAUCAUUACAUACUUCUUUAAUUUUCUUAUGUUCAUGUUGCCAGCGUGACAUGAAGGCAGAUCAGGUUGCAAAAAGUCACCAGAAUAAAUAGGUGCUCACUAGAGAUGCUGCAAAGUCCUCAUCACUGAUCAAAUCAAGUUACACGUAUGCCAUCAUGUCUAUUGCAUCGCUUUUUUGUAGCCUUUACACGAAUUUCUUCCUUGCAGGAUUAAGAAGUCGAUUUUUCCCCCUGCCAGGGGCCCUGGGCAAGGAUAGAGCUCCAGUAACUUUCCUGUAGCUGACCAUAAAUCAAAGGUGAAUCCAUCACCAGGUGACUAAAUACUGGAUCUGCAUCGAUGGCGCAUGUGUCAUACCCUGUCAGGAAGAGGGCCAGGACUCUGCGCCGCAUGUCUGCAGAGACUUUUCCGGCAAACCUUCCAGUGACAUGCUGGCAUGCCAUCAUGAAUGUGUUCAGAAGUCAGACCUGCGUUCUCAUAUUGAAUGUCAUGCUCAGGAACGAUAUUCAAGUCUACGAAGGAGUCUCAUCCACGCAGAAACGCUCCUAUGCUCUGAGCAGGCAUGG
RNAcentral lists this long non-coding RNA (713 nucleotides) under Coccomyxa subellipsoidea. RNAcentral's name for it is "long non-coding RNA (CSUB_LNC000033)". The record is from RNAcentral. Lineage: Eukaryota; Viridiplantae; Chlorophyta; Trebouxiophyceae; Coccomyxaceae.